This 864-nucleotide ribosomal RNA is filed under the name Triticum aestivum (bread wheat). RNAcentral describes it as "partial small subunit ribosomal RNA". Lineage: Eukaryota; Viridiplantae; Streptophyta; Magnoliopsida; Poales; Poaceae. The record is from RNAcentral.
AUGGCCUUCGCGUCGUGGCUAGUGGCGCCGCCUCCUGCCGCGAGGGCAGGGUGGAGGCCCGCGAGGGCGGCCCCUCGCCGGCUCGUCCUGGCGGCAUCCAGCCGAGGCGGCGGCCCGGCCCCGGCCCCGCCGACGUUCGACAGGCUGCGGGAGCAGCUCCUCCAACUCCACGCCGAAGCCGACCUCACCCAGUCCAAAGCAAACAGUGCUCGGGUGAGGCUUAUGCGGUUGACCGAGGCCGCUGAGAAUCUUAAGAAGAGAGCCGUAGUCAGUGUCCGGAUGGGCAGAGAGAAUGAGGCAGUGGAAUUACUUGUGCAGAAGAAGAAGUUGACCAAUGCUUUGGAGAACAUAAAGGAGCGCAUUGAGCUGCUUGACAAGCUUUCCGCAAAGAUUAGUGAGGUUAUUUCGGUGAAGCAGAAUAUGUUAAUUGAACACGCGUUGCGUCCAGGGAUGGCUACUGUUGAAGACUCCAAUGACCAUAUAAGAGUGUUCUCCGGUAAAAUUGAUGAUCGGGUGGAUGAGACUAGUGAUUCAAACGUGGCUGGCCAAUCCAAGGGAAGUGAACUUCAGAUGGCUGAUAGCUUCACAUUCUCCAAGGAUCAUGACCCAACAAACAUCAUGGAUGAUCAUUCUGCAUAUGAUGAUUUUGUGCAGCAUAUUGAUUCACAGCUGAGUUCAUUACAAUGUGAAAUUGAUCACUACGCCAGUUCCCAAUUAGCAAAAGAGUUGGACACUCAGCAGUCUGUAAAUGACAAGUUGCACAAAUUGUCAACCAUAUUGAAGCUUAUAACUGAAACUAGAGAAAGGAUUGCUAACAUUUCGGAUAACACAGUAAGUGAGAGUGGAUCUGAUGGCUUGAGAUGA